UCACUCUCAGUGCUCUCAAGGAAUCAAU
Molecule: small RNA, 28 nt
Filed under: Bombyx mori (domestic silkworm)
Lineage: Eukaryota; Metazoa; Arthropoda; Insecta; Lepidoptera; Bombycidae
Description: ovarian small RNA-25408
Source: RNAcentral